UCUUAACUUCUUGGCAGCUGGAUUCUCCUACUGGAAGAGAGCAUGUUGGUCAGUUGAAUGAGACAUCUCAGUCUGCUUAACAGAGACCAGAUCUUCUGAUGUGUUUGAGUGGGUCCUUUACGGAAGGCACUCUAGAGAGCAUUCUAUAUAUGGCAAAAACAAUUGACCUUCUUGUUGAAAAACUAGUCUUCUACAUUCAGAGGCAACCUCGCCUUACGAACACAGAACCACCAGAUCAAAGCAGCCUGGAUCACUGAAUCACCACAUGGAGGGCAGCUGCUGCAGAGAGGCAGUGAGAACAGAGCUGAACAAUUUGGACAGAGUACGUUUUUCUCAGCACAAAAACACGGAGAUCUGGGGAUCAUUUAUUAUGUAGUAUAAGCUUAACCUAUCUUGAUAAAUAUGGUGUCCCAAAACAAAUGUAUCUUUUCAACCUUAAAUACAUGACAUUUUUUAACAUCAUACUAUCUUUCAAUCAUACUAAAAGGUGAGUUUUUAGUUACUUUUUGUCCCUUCUUCUCUUUUAGUACCAUCCCCUCCAUGUUUUGCUGUAUCCUAUCAUUUGUAUCUUAGAAAUAUUUCUCAGUUUUCAUCAAUCUGGGAAAGAAAAAAAAAAAAAAAACGGAGUCAUAUCUUCUGCCUCUGAAUGAGAGAUACUUUAAUCAAUUCAAAAAAUUAGGAAACUUAAGUCCCUAGGAUUUGUUAUUUGGCAGCUCAUUUUCGACCACAAGAAUCACCUUGCCUGACUUUCAAGACACUCAACUUCAUCUGUCACUAGGACCCUAUAAUACUUCCCAGCACCUACACUUAUCUUCACCCAGUUUCCUCCUAAACAGCACUCCAGUUAUGCCUCAGCACCUUUGUACUCUGUCUUCUUACCUACACAGCUUUCAAACUGAAAUCCAAACUCAUUCUUCUCAUGAAGCCUCUCCUCAUUUUUCCAACCUCACCAAUGUCCCCUUACUCAGAACUCUCUCUGUGAAGAAACAGUUCCUAAUAGUUUAGUGUGUAAUACUUCUUUAAUUAUUACUACUGGCUUCCAAAAGGUUCUAGCCAUGCUUUUUACUGCUUCUGAAUCUGUGACAAUAUUUAGCCUAAUACAAAAACACAAAAUAAAGUACAAAAAAAUAAGUACUAAAUAUUUUUUACCUGCUUAAACUCAUCAGUAGACUUUCAUAUGACGAUCAGCUUCUUCCAGGGAAAUGUGGUAGUUUGUAACACACAUCCUUCCUUUUCAGCACAACAUCUCAGACUCCAGAGAUUCUACCUAAAUGAGAAACCACUGACUUGUUCAUGAAAAAAAGGAAUUGGCCUUCAAUGGUAUUUUUUCAAAACCUCACAUUCUUAGCAGAUGAUUAGUGACCUAUAGAAUUUCUUAGUAUUUGCUCUCAUAAGUGAAUUUGAUUCUUUAAUAAUUAUAUAUUGCCAGACAAACUUUAAAAGUAUCGACAGAUUAGUACCAUAAAUUAAACUUGCUUGUUCAUUUAUAGUUCAGAUGUGUUAUGAUGACAAUAUAGAACAAUAUGGGUGGUUUUACUUGCAGUAUUUUACUUUUUCCUAAAGUUAUGUGGAAUAUAACUGGUAUUGUUUUGUCCUCAAAAAGGAUUAUCUUCUGAAUCGUAUCUUCCAAUGAUGCUUAGUAAUUAUUAUACCUUAGUUUAUUUGCAUUAAACACUUUCCAAUAAAAGUUU
This 1691-nucleotide long non-coding RNA is filed under the name Canis lupus familiaris (dog). Its description in RNAcentral is "lncRNA (ENSCAFG00845014499.1)". The record is from RNAcentral. Lineage: Eukaryota; Metazoa; Chordata; Mammalia; Carnivora; Canidae.